GAGGAAUAUUGGUCAAUGGACGGAAGUCUGAACCAGCCAAGUAGCGUGCAGGAUGACGGCCCUAUGGGUUGUAAACUGCUUUUGUAUGGGGAUAAAGUCAGUCACGUGUCCCUAUUUGCAGGUACCAUACGAAUAAGGACCGGCUAAUUCCGUGCCAGCAGCCGCGGUAAUACGGAAGGUCCGGGCGUUAUCCGGAUUUAUUGGGUUUAAAGGGAGCGUAGGCUGGAGAUUAAGUGUGUUGUGAAAUGUAGACGCUCAACGUCUGACUUGCAGCGCAUACUGGUUUUCUUGAGUACGCACAACGUUGGCGGAAUUCGUCGUGUAGCGGUGAAAUGCUUAGAUAUGACGAAGAACUCCGAUUGCGAAGGCAGCUGACGGGAGCGCAACUGACGCUUAAGCUCGAAGGUGCGGGUAUCGAACAGGAUUAGAUACCCUGGUAGUCCGCACAGUAAACGAUGAAUGCCCGCUGUUGGUACCUGGUAUCAGCGGCUAAGCGAAAGCAUUAAGCAUCCCACCUGGGGAGUACGCCGGCAACGGUG
RNAcentral lists this ribosomal RNA (539 nucleotides) under uncultured bacterium. Its description in RNAcentral is "bacterial SSU rRNA". It matches the Rfam family "Bacterial small subunit ribosomal RNA", at positions 356 to 896 of the family's 1533-position model. The record is from RNAcentral.